RNAcentral lists this ribosomal RNA (439 nucleotides) under uncultured bacterium. RNAcentral's name for it is "bacterial SSU rRNA". It matches the Rfam family "Bacterial small subunit ribosomal RNA", at positions 954 to 1392 of the family's 1533-position model. The record is from RNAcentral.
GCAUAACGCGAAGAACCUUACCUAAGCUUGACAUCCUUUUGACCGAUGCCUAAUCGCAUCUUUCCCUUUGGGGACAGAAGUGACAGGUGGUGCAUGGUUGUCGUCAGCUCGUGUCGUGAGAUGUUGGGUUAAGUCCCGCAACGAGCGCAACCCUUGCCUUUAGUUGCCAGCAUUAAGUUGGGCACUCUAGAGGGACUGCCAGGGAUAACCUGGAGGAAGGUGGGGAUGACGUCAAAUCAUCAUGCCCCUUAUGCUUAGGGCUACACACGUGCUACAAUGGGUGGUACAGAGGGCAGCCAAGUCGUGAGGCGGAGCUAAUCCCUUAAAGCCAUUCUCAGUUCGGAUUGUAGGCUGAAACCCGCCUACAUGAAGCUGGAGUUACUAGUAAUCGCAGAUCAGAAUGCUGCGGUGAAUGCGUUCCCGGGUCUUGUACACACCG